AAGGCCCUAGGGUUGUUAAAGCUCGUUUUGUGCGGGAAGAGUAAUGACGGUAACCGCAAGAAUAAGCCCGGCUAACUUCGUGC
Molecule: ribosomal RNA, 83 nt
Filed under: uncultured bacterium
Lineage: Bacteria
Description: partial 16S ribosomal RNA
Source: RNAcentral